RNAcentral lists this transfer RNA (55 nucleotides) under Tetraleurodes acaciae (acacia whitefly). Its description in RNAcentral is "tRNA-Ser". Lineage: Eukaryota; Metazoa; Arthropoda; Insecta; Hemiptera; Aleyrodidae. The record is from RNAcentral.
AAAUUGAUUUAAUUGGUUUGAAACCAUUUUUCAGACUGUAAAAGUCUUCAGUUUU